RNAcentral lists this ribosomal RNA (497 nucleotides) under uncultured bacterium. RNAcentral describes it as "partial 16S ribosomal RNA". It matches the Rfam family "Bacterial small subunit ribosomal RNA", at positions 28 to 507 of the family's 1533-position model. The record is from RNAcentral.
GAUGAACGCUGGCGGCGUGCCUAAUACAUGCAAGUCGAGCGAACAGACGAGGAGCUUGCUCCUCUGACGUUAGCGGCGGACGGGUGAGUAACACGUGGAUAACCUACCUAUAAGACUGGGAUAACUUCGGGAAACCGGAGCUAAUACCGGAUAAUAUAUUGAACCGCAUGGUUCAAUAGUGAAAGACGGUUUUGCUGUCACUUAUAGAUGGAUCCGCGCCGCAUUAGCUAGUUGGUAAGGUAACGGCUUACCAAGGCAACGAUGCGUAGCCGACCUGAGAGGGUGAUAGGCCACACUGGAACUGAGACACGGUCCAGACUCCUACGGGAGGCAGCAGUAGGGAAUCUGACGCAAUGGGCGAAAGCCUGACGGAGCAACGCCGCGUGAGUGAUGAAGGUCUUCGGAUCGUAAAACUCUGUUAUUAGGGAAGAACAAAUGUGUAAGUAAAUAUGCACGUAUUGACGGUACCUAAUCAGAAAGCCACGGCUAACUACGUG